UUUUGCAGGUGUUCUUCUUCGAUAAUGAAUGCAAUAAGAGAUUGGCCAUAACAGAUUGACGCGUCAGGAAGGGGACCCUUCGACUUUCUGCUUAGAAAAUAGAUCUACAAUAAAGUACCAUUCUCUUAAUAUUUACGAUCGUUUGAGUUUCUUCGAUUUACAAUGCCAUACUUGGACGACCAUGACUCAAUGCCUUGAGAGCGGUAAUAUCAACAUACCAUUUAAUGAUCUGAUUUUUGAUAAAAAAUAAAGUUGAAGAAAUA
This 263-nucleotide long non-coding RNA is filed under the name Elaeis guineensis (African oil palm). RNAcentral's name for it is "long non-coding RNA (EGUI_LNC011615)". The record is from RNAcentral. Lineage: Eukaryota; Viridiplantae; Streptophyta; Magnoliopsida; Arecales; Arecaceae.